This 440-nucleotide ribosomal RNA is filed under the name uncultured bacterium. RNAcentral's name for it is "partial 16S ribosomal RNA". It matches the Rfam family "Bacterial small subunit ribosomal RNA", at positions 338 to 795 of the family's 1533-position model. The record is from RNAcentral.
ACUACGGGUGGCAGCAGUGGGGGAUAUUGCACAAUGGGGGAAACCCUGAUGCAGCGACGCCGCGUGUGGGAAGACGGUCCUCUGGAUUGUAAACCACUGUCCCCAGGGACGAAGAUGACGGUACCUGGGGAGGAAGCUCCGGCUAACUACGUGCCAGCAGCCGCGGUAAUACGUAGGGAGCGAGCGUUGUCCGGAAUUACUGGGUGUAAAGGGAGCGUAGGCGGGACUGCAAGUUGGUUGUCAAAUCUACCGGCUCAACCGGUAGCCGCACUCAAAACUGCAGUUCUUGAGUGAAGUAGAGGCAGGCGGAAUUCCUAGUGUAGCGGUGAAAUGCGUAGAUAUUAGGAGGAACACCAGUGGCGAAGGCGGCCUGCUGGGCUUUUACUGACGCUGAGGCUCGAAAGUGUGGGGAGCAAACAGGAUUAGAUACCCGUGUAGUC